This 253-nucleotide ribosomal RNA is filed under the name uncultured bacterium. RNAcentral describes it as "partial 16S ribosomal RNA". It matches the Rfam family "Bacterial small subunit ribosomal RNA", at positions 524 to 776 of the family's 1533-position model. The record is from RNAcentral.
UACGAAGGGUGCUAGCGUUGUUCGAAAUUACUGGGCGGAAAGCGCACGUAGGCUGAUCUUUAAGUCAGGGUUGAAAUCCCUGGGCUUAACCUAGGAACUGCAUUGGAUACGGUUUGGCUAGAGACCGAGAGAGGAAGAUGGAAUUGUGCGUGUAGAGGUGAAAUUCGUAGAUAUGCACAAGAACACCGGUGGCGAAGGCGAUCUUCUGGAGCGGUACUGACGCUAAGGCACGAAAGCGUGGGGAGCAAACAGG